RNAcentral lists this ribosomal RNA (881 nucleotides) under uncultured archaeon. RNAcentral's name for it is "bacterial SSU rRNA". It matches the Rfam family "Archaeal small subunit ribosomal RNA", at positions 455 to 1335 of the family's 1478-position model. The record is from RNAcentral.
GUGUCAGCAGCCGCGGUAAAACCAGCACCUCAAGUGGUCAGGAGGAUUAUUGGGCCUAAAGCAUCCGUAGCCUGCUCUGUAAGUUUCCGGUUAAAUCCAUUAGCUCAACUAAUGGCCUGCCGGAAAUACUGUAGAGCUAGGAAGUGGGAGAGGUAGGUGGUACUCGGUAGGAAGGGGUAAAAUCCUUUGAUCUAUUGAUGACCACCUGUGGCGAAGGCGGUCUACCAGAACACGUUCGACGGUGAGGGAUGAAAGCUGGGGGAGCAAACCGGAUUAGAUACCCGGGUAGUCCCAGCUGUAAACGAUGCAGACUCGGUGAUGCCCUGGCUUGUGGCCAGUGCAGUGCCGCAGGGAAGCCGUUAAGUUUGCCGCCUGGGAAGUACGUACGCAAGUAUGAAACUUAAAGGAAUUGGCGGGGGAGCACCACAAGGGGUGAAGCCUGCGGUUCAAUUGGAGUCAACGCCAGAAAUCUUACCCGGAGAGACAGCAGAAUGAAGGUCAAGCUGAAGACUUUACCAGACAAGCUGAGAGGUGGUGCAUGGCCGCCGCCAGCUCGUGCCGUGAGAUGUCCUGUUAAGUCAGGUAACGAGCGAGAUCCCUGCCUCUAGUUGCCACCAUUACUCUCAGGAGUAGUGGGGCGAAUUAGCGGGACCGCCACAGUUAAUGUGGAGGAAGGAAGGGGCCACGACAGGUCAGUAUGCCCCGAAACUCUGGGGCCACACGCGGGCUGCAAUGGUAGUGACAAUGAGUUCCGAAACCGAAAGGUGGAGGUAAUCUUCAAACGCUACCACAGUUAUGAUUGAGGGCUGCAACUCGCCCUCAUGAAUAUGGAAUCCCUAGUAACUGCGUGUCAUUAUCGCGCGGUGAAUACGUCCCUGCUC